This 478-nucleotide ribosomal RNA is filed under the name uncultured bacterium. RNAcentral's name for it is "partial 16S ribosomal RNA". It matches the Rfam family "Bacterial small subunit ribosomal RNA", at positions 28 to 507 of the family's 1533-position model. The record is from RNAcentral.
GAUGAACGCUGGCGGCGUGCUUAACACAUGCAAGUCGAACGAGAAAUGGAGACGGAAACCUUCGGGCGGAAGGCUUCAUUUCGAGUGGCGGACGGGUGAGUAACGCGUGGGUAACCUGCCUCAUACAGGGGGAUAACAGUUGGAAACGACUGUUAAUACCGCAUAAGACCACAGCACCGCAUGGUGCGGGGGUAAAAACUCCGGUGGUAUGAGAUGGACCCGCGUUCGAUUAGCCAGUUGGCGGGGUAACGGCCCACCAAAGCGACGAUCGAUAGCCGAUCUGAGAGGAUGACCGGCCACAUUGGGACUGAGACACGGCCCAAACUCCGACGGGAGGCAGCAGUGGGGAAUAUUGCACAAUGGGGGAAACCCUGAUGCAGCGACGCCGCGUGAGUGAAGAAGUACUUCGGUAUGUAAAGCUCUAUCAGCAGGGAAGAAAAUGACGGUACCUGAGUAAGAAGCCCCGGCUAACUACGUG